This 1336-nucleotide ribosomal RNA is filed under the name uncultured Micrococcus sp. RNAcentral's name for it is "bacterial SSU rRNA". It matches the Rfam family "Bacterial small subunit ribosomal RNA", at positions 31 to 1378 of the family's 1533-position model. The record is from RNAcentral. Lineage: Bacteria; Bacillati; Actinomycetota; Actinomycetes; Micrococcales; Micrococcaceae.
AUACGCUUNGCUGNCUANCAUGCAGUUCGAAGAUGAAGCCCAGCUUGCUGGGUGGAUUAAGUGGCGAACGUGAGUAACACGUGAGUAACCUGCCCUUAACUCUGGAGAUAAGCCUGGGAAACUGGGUCUAAUACCGGAUAGGAGCGUCCACCGCAUGGUGGGUGUUGGAAAGACUUAUCGGAUAUUCUGGAUGGACUCGCGGCCUAUCAGCUUGUUGGUGAGGUAAUGGCUCACCAAGGCGACGACGGGUAGCCGGCCUGAGAGGGUGACCGGCCACACUGGGACUGAGACACGGCCCAGACUCCUACGGGAGGCAGCAGUGGGGAAUAUUGCACAAUGGGCGCAAACCUGAUGCAGCGACGCCGCGUGAGGGAUGACGGCCUUCGGGUUGUAAACCUCUUUCAGUAGGGAAGAAGCGAAAGUGACGGUACCUGCAGAAGAAGCACCGGCUAACUACGUGCCAGCAGCCGCGGUAAUACGUAGGGUGCGAGCGUUAUCCGGCAAUUCAUUCGGGCGUACAAGAGCUCGUAGGCGGUUUGUCGCGUCUGUCGUGAAAGUCCGGGCUUAACCCCCCCGGAUCUGCGGUGGGUACGGCAGACUAGAGUGCAGUAGGGGAGACUGGAAUUCCUGGUGUACCGGUGGAAUGCGCAGAUUAUCCAGGAGGAACACCGAUGGCGAAGCAGUUCUCUGGGCUGUAACUGACGCUGAGGAGCGAAAGCAUGGGGAGCGAACAGGAUUAGAUACCCUGGUAGUCCAUGCCGUAAACGUUGGGCACUAGUGUGGGGACCAUUCCACGGUUUCCGCGGCCGCAGCUAACGCAUUAAGUGCCCCGCCUGGGGAGUACGGCCGCAAGGCUAAAACUCAAAGGAAUUGACGGGGGCCCGCACAAGCGGCGGAGCAUGCGGAUUAAUUCGAUGCAACGCGAAGAACCUUACCAAGGCUUGACAUGUUCUCGAUCGCCGUAGAGAUACGGUUUCCCCUUUGGGGCGGGUUCACAGGUGGUGCAUGGUUGUCGUCAGCUCGUGUCGUGAGAUGUUGGGUUAAGUCCCGCAACGAGCGCAACCCUCGUUCCAUGUUGCCAGCACGUAAUGGUGGGGACUCAUGGGAGACUGCCGGGGUCAACUCGGAGGAAGGUGAGGACGACGUCAAAUCAUCAUGCCCCUUAUGUCUUGGGCUUCACGCAUGCUACAAUGGCCGGUACAAUGGGUUGCGAUACUGUGAGGUGGAGCUAAUCCCAAAAAGCCGGUCUCAGUUCGGAUUGGGGUCUGCAACUCGACCCCAUGAAGUCGGAGUCGCUAGUAAUCGCAGAUCAGCAACGCUGCGNGAUACGUCCGGG